This 407-nucleotide ribosomal RNA is filed under the name uncultured bacterium. Its description in RNAcentral is "bacterial SSU rRNA". It matches the Rfam family "Bacterial small subunit ribosomal RNA", at positions 8 to 396 of the family's 1533-position model. The record is from RNAcentral.
AGGGUUUGAUCAUGGGCUCGGAACGAACGGUGGCGGCGUGGAUGAGGCAUGCAAGUCGAGCGAGAAAGCACCCUUCGGGGUGUGAGUAGAGCGGCGGACGGGUGAGUAACACGUAAUCGAGCUGCCCUCGAGACUGGGAUAAGUGGGAAACUGCGGCUAAUACCGGAUGGUCUUCAGUUGCUGCAUGGCGACUGAUGUAAAUGGAGGGGAUCCUUCGGGACCUUCUGCUCGGGGAGGCGAUUGCGGCUGAUCAGCUUGUUGGUGGGGUAAUGGCCCACCAAGGCUACGACGGGUAGCAGGCCUGGGGCCACGAAAGCCGAGAGCGCCCGAAGUCGUUUGCCUAACCGCAAGGAGGGCGGCGCCGAAGGCGAGCUUGGUGAUUGGGACUAAGUCGUAACAAGGUAACC